RNAcentral lists this ribosomal RNA (245 nucleotides) under uncultured bacterium. RNAcentral describes it as "partial 16S ribosomal RNA". It matches the Rfam family "Bacterial small subunit ribosomal RNA", at positions 14 to 248 of the family's 1533-position model. The record is from RNAcentral.
GUAUCAUGGCUCAGGAUGAACGCUAGCUACAGGCUUAACACAUGCAAGUCGAGGGGCAGCAUGGACCCAGCUUUGCUGGGUUUGAUGGCGACCGGCGCACGGGUGAGUAACGCGUAUCCAACCUGCCCUUUACUCCGGGAUAGUCUCCUGAAAGGGAGUUUAAUACCGGAUGUGUUUGUCUUUCCGCAUGGGAGCGACAAAUAAAGAUUGAUUGGUAAAGGAUGGGGAUGCGUCCCAUUAGCUUG